Molecule: non-coding RNA, 85 nt
Filed under: Candidatus Frackibacter sp. WG11
Lineage: Bacteria; Bacillati; Bacillota; Clostridia; Halanaerobiales; Halobacteroidaceae
Also listed under: 2 other names
Source: RNAcentral
GGAAGCCGUAUGAGGGAAAAUCUCAUGUACGGUUUGAAGAGGACUGUCUGAUAACUUUAAUUAGAGUUAUCAGCUUUUACUCGAC